RNAcentral lists this ribosomal RNA (847 nucleotides) under Termitomyces microcarpus. Its description in RNAcentral is "partial large subunit ribosomal RNA". It matches the Rfam family "Eukaryotic large subunit ribosomal RNA", at positions 71 to 864 of the family's 3401-position model. The record is from RNAcentral. Lineage: Eukaryota; Fungi; Basidiomycota; Agaricomycetes; Agaricales; Lyophyllaceae.
AGGAUUCCCCUAGUAACUGCGGGUGAAGCGGGAAAAGCUCAAAUUUAAAAUCUGGUAGUCUUUGGCUGCCCGAGUUGUAAUCUAGAGAAGCAUUAUCUGCACUGGACUGUGUAUAAGUAUCCUGGAAUGGAUCAUCAUAGAGGGUGAGAAUCCCGUCUUUGACACAGACUCCCUUUGCCUUGUGAUGUGCUCUCAAAGAGUCGAGUUGUUUGGGAAUGCAGCUCUAAAUGGGUGGUAAAUUCCAUCUAAAGCUAAAUAUUGGCGAGACCGAUAGCGAACAAGUACCGUGAGGGAAAGAUGAAAAGAACUUUGGAAAGAGAGUUAAACAGUACGUGAAAUUGCUGAAAGGGAAACGCUUGAAGUCAGUCGCGUUGGCUGGGGAUCAACCUUGCUUGGCUUACUUCCCAGUUGACGGGUCAGCAUCAGUUUUGACCGGUGGAUAAAGGCUAGGGGAAUGUGGCACCCGGGUGUGUUAUAGCCCUUGGUCACAUACAUCGGUUGGGACUGAGGAACUCAGCCCUUGUGCUUAGGAUGCUGGCAUAAUGGCUUUAAGCGACCCGUCUUGAAACACGGACCAAGGAGUCUAACAUGCCCGCGAGUGUUUGGGUGGAAAACCCGAGCGCGUAAUGAAAGUGAAAGUUGAGAUCCCUGUCGUGGGGAGCAUCGACGCCCGGACCAGACCUUUUGUGACGGAUCCGCGGUAGAGCGUGUAUGUUGGGACCCGAAAGAUGGUGGACUAUGCCUGAGUUCUGAAACCUGUGGCACUAGCUAGUCCUGAGUUGUGUAGGUGGCAAUUUCUUCCGAACGUAUAUAUUUAGGCUACGCGAGUAGAGAAACCCCCCCUCUC